GUGAUUUCUCUAUUCUCACCUUUUCUGUGAGGCCGAGUAUCUGGAGCAGGAUUUGCCAUCCCAUGCGCAGUAUGGAUCCCUGGCCAGACAGCAGUCAGCACAGACUUCCCCAUACACAUCACAGCGAUGGAGAGCUAGUUCCAGGUCGAGGGUAGGGGAUCUUCCCAGUGUAAGCCACCCACUGGUAGUUGGGCCCUUCCUUGUGGGCAAACGGCCCAUUGAAGACCAUCCGGAUGUCAGCCAUGGAGUAAACGCACACGGCCGAGCCUUUAAACACAGACCUGGAGGAGGGCAGGAGGGACAAGGCCUUUAUGGUCCUCCUCUCCCUCAGAGAAGCACUGAACGCUCUCUCUUCAGUUGGCCUCACCAUCUGAAUGUACUCCGCUGUCUCCCAGGAGCCAUCGUACAACCACUCUGAAGCUCUGCUGGGCUCCAUCAGGACCAGCAGGCCAGACAGUCUGUGGUUGUGGGAACAGCGACCACAGAGCUGUGGGAUGUUACACUGCACCUCAGGACUCACAAUGACCUCACCACGAGUGUUCAUCUGCACUGAGGCCACCAGUGACCUGCUGUACUGAUGGACCACUGAAGUACAGCAACAGACACCACAGUGCUUUUCUGUCACGGACUCUGAGUGCUCUUUAGGCAAAACAAACAUUUGUAAAGCCUCAUCACAGCAUGAUUAGGAGUUUUUCCUAUAGAUUCAGCUCAUGGCUGUGUUCACUGUACAGCUGUUAAUAGAAAUGUUUUGAAUCAUCUGCCACAACAUUAAAACCACUGACAGGUGAAGUGAUUAACAUUUAUUCCCUCAUUAUAAUGGCAUUUGUCAGUGGGUGGGAAACAUUUGGCAGCA
Long non-coding RNA from Acanthochromis polyacanthus (spiny chromis), 853 nucleotides. RefSeq lists it as uncharacterized. The transcript has 3 exons. Lineage: Eukaryota; Metazoa; Chordata; Actinopteri; Pomacentridae. The record is from RefSeq and is a predicted model, not a curated record.